ACUCCUACGGGAGGCAGCAGUCGGGAAUAUUGCGCAAUGGAGGGAACUCUGACGCAGUGACGCCGCGUAUAGGAAGAAGGUUUUCGGAUCGUAAACUAUUGUCGACAGGGAAGAAAAAAGACAGUACCUGUAGAGGAAGCACCGGCUAACUACGUGCCAGCAGCCGCGGUAAU
This 173-nucleotide ribosomal RNA is filed under the name uncultured bacterium. RNAcentral's name for it is "partial 16S ribosomal RNA". It matches the Rfam family "Bacterial small subunit ribosomal RNA", at positions 335 to 524 of the family's 1533-position model. The record is from RNAcentral.